UGUAAGAGAUAAUGCUCCCGAGCAAGUCAAACACAAAGAUAAACAUCAAUCUGAGAAGAUCACUCCUAGAGAUAUAAACUUUGUAAAUUCAAAUAUUGGGAGAGAUAUGGAUAAAUGUAAUUCAAACUAAGGAUUUUUUGGGUUGUUAUCUUCUUAUCUUGUAAUCAACUAUAUUGUUUAUAAAUACAAAGUAGGACACCUCCAUAUGUAUUGUGUGGAGCAGAAUAUUCAUCAAA
Molecule: long non-coding RNA, 236 nt
Filed under: Actinidia chinensis (golden kiwifruit)
Lineage: Eukaryota; Viridiplantae; Streptophyta; Magnoliopsida; Ericales; Actinidiaceae
Description: long non-coding RNA (ACHI_LNC009156)
Source: RNAcentral